UUAUUUGGGUAAGCAAAUUCAAAGAAAAGGGUUAAAAGCGACUGGGUGUUGGGGAGCAGCUUUUGGGAGCGUCCUUGAGCAAAGCGCCACGCCCCGCGAGGGUAAGCGAUCUACGCCCUACCCCACCGGAGAGCUUCUGGGCGCGUCCCCUUCUCCGGGAGACCUAAGGAGGGCAACCACCGCUCCCAAUCUCCCUUGGCGGCGAGAACUGGAGGGUGCACCCACCACUAGAAUUUGAACAUCCUAAGAACAGGUAUUUUUGUCUCUGCUUUGCUGAUGUAUCCUCAGCAACCGGAACUGCCUGACAUCUGAUCCUUUCUGUGAGACACCAGGCUGUUGAGGAAGAAUCUAUGGCAACAUUGUAUCUAUUAAUAUACAGCUUCUGUAUUUAUCAGGCCCAGUUCUGGUGAUGAUUUCACUUUUGACAGAAGCUGUCCCUCAAAAGCAAACAUGCAAUAGAAGAAACAGAUCUCAAUGCCAUCCAUCUGCAGUUGUGACAAGCAAAAAAGUCUCCAGACAUGGCCAAAUGUCCCCUGGGGGGCAAAAUCACCCCCAAUUGAGAACUACUGCUCUAAACUAUGGAGUCUCACUCUGUCACCCAGGAUGGAGUACAGUGGCGUGAUCUCGGCUCACUGCAAGCUCCGCCUCCUGGGUUCAUGCCAUUCUCCUGCCUUAGCCUCCCGAGUAGCUGGGACUACAGGCGCCUGCCACCACGCCCGGCUAAUUUUUGUAUUUUUAGUAGAGACAGGGUUUCACCGCAUUAGCCAGGAUGGUCUCGAUCUCCUGACCUCGUGAUCCGCCCGCCUCAGCCUCCCAAAGUGCUGGGAUUACAGGCGUGAGUCACUGUGCCCAGCCAAGUUUAGUAUUUUUUGUAGAGACAGAGUUUCACCAUGUUGGCCAGGCUGGUCUUGCACUCAUGGCCUCAAGUGAUCCACCUGCCUCGGCCUCCGAAAGUGCUGGGAUUACAGGCGUAAGCCACUGUGCCUGGCCUUAAAUGGGUAAAUUUCAUAUGGUAUAUGAAUUAUAUUUCACUAAAACUUUAAGAAAACAUUAUACAGUACUGUUCAAAUUUUAAGUGGUCCAAUUUAAAUGCACUAUUGUAUACAAUUCUAUGUAAUGUCCUUACCAUGGUAUAUGUUAACUAUAAAUAUCUAUGCCCCUACCCUUAGUAUCAAAGCAUAUAUUAUAUGCCAGUGAGCCAAGCCCCACAUGUCUGUGAAAUGUGGUCUUCUAGCCAUAGAAGUAGCUUGUGCUCCUAGGGUAUUCCUUGAGGCUCUGUAUGAAGAAUGUCCAUUUGUUUGAGUCCCUAACCUACAGAAUAUUCCUGACCAUGGAAAUGUGAUAGAUAGGAGUAAGCACAUGGACCAAAAGGCCUGGAGGCUCAUCAUUUAAGGUACAAGCCAAUUAUGUAGUCUUUGAAAGAAUGCUUUGAAAUUCAGCUUGCUUGAUUCAAUUCCCAAUAUUUUCAUUUGUAUUAAAAGAUUUGGCCCUUACAGGUUAAAAACAAUGUCAGUGUAACCAAGUGACAUUCAAAUUUUGGCUCCCAACAUGUGAUAUGACAUCACUUCAUGUGAAAAUAGCGAAGCUCCAAACAUUUUCUUUCAGUCACCUUAUUAAGCUCGCUGAGCCCUGACAGCCUAAUGAAAGGCUAAGGGGGAAGAAAAUGUCCCAACUUCUACACUGUUGAAGAUGGGCUAAUGAGAGGUUAGCUUGCAAGAAUCAUUCUUUCUUGGCAUCCUGCUUCUGACUGCUUGGCUUUCAGCUUAUACCCAGCAUGAAAAUUUAAUUUCCUCGCAGUUGAAGGUAGUUUAAAGCUUAUUACUCACAUGCUAAAAUGUUGAUGUAUCUGUUUUUGUGCUUGUUUUCUGGAUGAUUGGAAUGCUCUGCAGUGAUGUUCAUAUCAGCAGUACAGCGCUGGACUUCCUAGUGAAGAAAACAGCAAGAUUAUAGACACAGUUUAGAAACAAAGGAACACCAUAUACAUUUAAAGGCAUAAAGUAUUUACUCACUCCCUGGCCACAGCCACCGUUACCUUCUCAAUCCCAACUUCGGAUAUAAUUAUUGAUAUAUUUAUAACGAGUUUAUGAAGAAUGUGAAAAAGGUAUAAAGAUUUCAUUAUUUACUAUUUCAUCAAUCAUCUACUUUUUUCUAGUUUUUGACCUAGUCCCUGAGAUGUAAAACAAUAUCUCUUUUUGAAUACAUCAUAGUCUAUGGGUGAGAAAAAUAUUCAAAAAGAUAGUCAAACAUGAUGAAUACAAAAGAGGCCUGAGAAAGCUCUGAUGGGAGCACAGAACAGAGGAAGGCUUUAGACAGGUGAAAAAAUUUACCUAAGUCUUAAAGGAAGAAAGGGAAUUUCUAAGAAGUAUAAUCUCUACCAUGAUUUGCAAUAUGCUUACAGGCCUUAUAGCCUCAUUUUAUAAUUGUGAGGGUGCAUUGACUCUAAAGACUCAGUGCUGAAAUAACCCUAAUAACAGCCCAACUAAUGGUCAUAUCUCAUAUAUACAGUCUUGACAAAUUAUUUGUGAACUCUAGUAUUUUAAAAGUUAUCCUUCUUUGGAAAAAUAGCAGUAGCAGAAAUAACACUCUUAUCCUACCUUGGCCGUGGAUUUAAACGUCAUCCAUUAGCCUAAUACAACGUUGCUGAAAAGCCAAAUUUUUCUACACUAUAUGCUUCAAACCCAAGAAAGUACUGGAGCUGACUAAUAAGGGAAGUCAUUAGCAGUACACAGCUGCUACAAAGAGCCUGAACAAAGUAACACAAAAUUAUCAGGAGAAAUGUUUUACACAGAACAGAUGUAGCAGAGUUUAGAAGCAUGCAGACUUUUUUUUUCCACAAAGGAGUUGCCUAGUAAUUAUGCAUGUUUUCCAUAGUAUUU
This is a long non-coding RNA of Homo sapiens (human), 2876 nucleotides long. Ensembl annotates it as PTPRG antisense RNA 1. Its record names the gene PTPRG-AS1. NCBI's taxonomy places the organism in Eukaryota, Metazoa, Chordata, Mammalia, Primates, Hominidae. The record is from Ensembl.